GUCCCAGUUCGGACUGUAGUCUGCAACCCGACUACACGAAGCCGGAAUCGCUAGUAAUCGCGAAUCAGAAUGUCGCGGUGAAUACGUUCCCGGGUCUUGUACACACCGCCCGUCACACCAUGGGAGUCGGAAAUGCCCGAAGUCAGUGACCUAACCGAAAGGGAGGAGCUGCCGAAGGUGGAGCCGGUAACUGGGGUGAAGUCGUAACAAGGUAUC
RNAcentral lists this ribosomal RNA (216 nucleotides) under uncultured bacterium. RNAcentral's name for it is "partial 16S ribosomal RNA". It matches the Rfam family "Bacterial small subunit ribosomal RNA", at positions 1285 to 1500 of the family's 1533-position model. The record is from RNAcentral.